UUUCGCCCUUUCUUCAAUAUUUUUUUGUGAUCUUACAACCAUCUAGUGCACCUGCCAGCUGAGAGAUGAGCUGACGGCCUACAGCAGUUGGGCAGAGUCCUAUCCAGUGACCCUUGAGGUGCCUGCUCUGUAAAGGACAGGCAGGCAGGAGCUGUGUGAACAACAGCAUGCCCUUGAACACUUUGUUGGCCGCUGACCCUCUGAGGACAAAAUAGAUGCCUGGAUCAGGAAGCAGAGAUGGACAUCAAAUGUCCCAAAGACUUCAGUUAUUAUGAAGCAAUGGAAGCCUGUUUAGUGUCUGCACCAGGUAAUGGACAGCAGCUUGUGCAGAGGAUGGUUUUGAAUCAACGCUGGAAACAGCGGGAAUAAAUCCUUGCGCAUUAAAUGCACAAUGACCAUUUCCACUGCCAGCCUCUGUCCUUAGUUUAUGGAUGAUGCAUUCAACACUCCAGCAAAAAUGAUAGAGAUGUCAUUCUCUUCAUGGCAACCAGAGACAUUGGAGACAAUGAGGAGCUAGAAAAGAGCUGAAAGUGGACUGGAUGUAAAACAACAUAUGUCAUUUAGUCCUUUAUUUCCAACACCUCAAACUUUUGCAACCUACAGAUUUUUCCUGAAAUAUUUUAGUUAAAGCUCUAGCGAAGAUAAGUUGCUGCAGCUAAAAAGUUCAUAGUUGGAUCUCCGGCGUGGGCUGGCAGUCACACACGAAUACAUCAAUACACACACACACACACACACACACACACACA
Non-coding RNA from Danio rerio (zebrafish), 746 nucleotides. The record is from RefSeq and is a predicted model, not a curated record. Lineage: Eukaryota; Metazoa; Chordata; Actinopteri; Cypriniformes; Danionidae.